GGCACUGUGGCGGAGUGGUUAACGCGACAGAUUCGAAUUCGCCACCUUGAUCUGUUCCAGUUUCUGGGCGCAUGUUCGAAUCAUGCCAGUGUCG
Mycena metata is the source of this 94-nucleotide non-coding RNA. The record is from the annotation of a GenBank genome assembly. NCBI's taxonomy places the organism in Eukaryota, Fungi, Basidiomycota, Agaricomycetes, Agaricales, Mycenaceae.